AUGGCAUAAAGAUAACUAUGGGUUCUGGUUAGAUCAACGAAGUCAAGCAUCAUUGGGCGCGGUCAGUACUUGGGUGGGUGACCACCUGGGAACACCGCGUGCCGUU
This is a non-coding RNA of Caerostris darwini, 106 nucleotides long. The record is from the annotation of a GenBank genome assembly. NCBI's taxonomy places the organism in Eukaryota, Metazoa, Arthropoda, Arachnida, Araneae, Araneidae.